Molecule: non-coding RNA, 386 nt
Organism: Camelina sativa (false flax)
Lineage: Eukaryota; Viridiplantae; Streptophyta; Magnoliopsida; Brassicales; Brassicaceae
Source: RefSeq, a predicted model, not a curated record
AGGAUAUGUUGUGCAGCCAGAUAAAUUGCCAGAUUACGUAGUCCCUGAUCUCACUGGCUUUAAGCUGAAACCAUAUGUAUCUCAGUGUCCUAUACAAGUGAACACAAACGAGUCAACCGAAGCUUCCAAGUAACCAUCAGGAGAUAGAGAUCAAGGGGAGUGGGAAGCUGCUGCAGACAUAAUGGAAGGGAACGAAUCAUCUGGCAUAAUAGCAGUAUAAAGACUAGUAGUCAGCAUAAGUUGUAUAUUUGUUAUUGUUACUAUUAAAAGAUUAAUAAACAUAAGUUGAUCACUAUGAAUCAGUACUGAAACAGAGUUGAAAACAGAGGAUACUUGUCAUGCGUUAUGCAAAAUCCAAAAUAAAUGUAUGAAAACUUCAUUAGGCC